Non-coding RNA from Zootermopsis nevadensis, 902 nucleotides. The record is from RefSeq and is a predicted model, not a curated record. NCBI's taxonomy places the organism in Eukaryota, Metazoa, Arthropoda, Insecta, Blattodea, Termopsidae.
CCUGCUGGAGCAGGAGCAACCCCAGAGCCAAAAAGAUUGUUUAGAAGUUCAGCUUUCUUUCCAAUGAAGAUGUUUGGAUCCACAAAUGGAGCUACCAUCGCUGGUUUUACUGGAAGGAAUGGUUUCAAUGACAGAAGGUGCACCAGAUUCUAAGCCAGUGAAUACGGUGGAAAUGUUGAAGUCCCAAGAUUAUUUUCAGACUGAAUUAUUAGAAAUCCCGCAUACUUCAGGAUUAUGAGUUGUAUGAAUAUGUAGGAGAUUUUUUAAAAUCAACCUUAAAUGAAGUUUCUUCGAACGCAGAAGACCCAGCAGAUGGUUCACAACGUCGAGGAUGAAAGGCGGAAGAAAGAUGUCAUUACUUAGUGGCAGAGAGAAGCAGUGUGAAUGUUUUGUUUAUCACUUUCUAGAAGAUAACGGGAGACAUAAUUUAUAGUACAGUAAAACUGCUUUAUAUUUAUCAUUCAUUGUUAAACCUCUUUGGCAUGACGUAAAACAAAUUUUGAAGUUGUUAUGCUUGUGAAGAUGUUGAUCAUGGUCCUUUGGGUUGUGGUACCACGCAGUUACCAACAUUCCUCCAAAAUGUUUGUUGACAUCCUGCAGUAUCACACUAAGUUACAACCCAGAAUAUCAUGAUUGAGAACUAAAAGGAACUUUGCAAUUGGUCUUUUGUACAGUUUCUGUAAACACUUUAGCUUUUUAUGUGUUGGAUAUGUUAUAUGUUAGUUACCUGUUGUUGAAUUACUAUAUACAUUCUGCAGUCAACUGUGCAAUGUUUUUAAUUUAUUUUUUAUAUUUUGCUAGGUAUGUGUGAUAUAAAUCAUAUUGUAUCUGGCAAUAAAAAUUGCAGUAUCUGAUAUAAAUACUGUUUUUGCUGUGUGCUGAAUAAAAAUUCUAUCUUGCUA